Molecule: ribosomal RNA, 275 nt
Filed under: uncultured bacterium
Lineage: Bacteria
Description: partial 16S ribosomal RNA
Rfam family: Bacterial small subunit ribosomal RNA
Source: RNAcentral
GAUGAACGCUAGCGGCAGGCCUAAUACAUGCAAGUCGAACGGGAUCCAGAUCAAAGCUUGCUUUGGUUUGGUGAGAGUGGCGCACGGGUGCGUAACGCGUGAGCAACCUACCCUUGUCAGGGGGAUAGCCCGGCGAAAGUCGGAUUAAUACCGCAUGACAUCAUUGAGAGGCAUCUUUCGAUGAUCAAAGAUUUAUCGGACAAGGAUGGGGCUCGCGNGACAUUAGCUAGUUGGUAAGGUAACGGCUUACCAAGGCUACGAUGUCUAGGGGCUCU